UCGAACGAUGAACCUCCUUCGGGAGGGGAUUAGUGGCGAACGGGUGAGUAACACGUGGGCAAUCUGCCCUUCACUCUGGGACAAGCCCUGGAAACGGGGUCUAAUACCGGAUACGACCACCGACCGCAUGGUCUGGUGGUGGAAAGCUCCGGCGGUGAAGGAUGAGCCCGCGGCCUAUCAGCUUGUUGGUGGGGUGAUGGCCUACCAAGGCGACGACGGGUAGCCGGCCUGAGAGGGCGACCGGCCACACUGGGACUGAGACACGGCCCAGACUCCUACGGGAGGCAGCAGUGGGGAAUAUUGCACAAUGGGCGAAAGCCUGAUGCAGCGACGCCGCGUGAGGGAUGACGGCCUUCGGGUUGUAAACCUCUUUCAGCAGGGAAGAAGCGAGAGUGACGGUACCUGCAGAAGAAGCGCCGGCUAACUACGUGCCAGCAGCCGCGGUAAUACGUAGGGCGCAAGCGUUGUCCGGAAUUAUUGGGCGUAAAGAGCUCGUAGGCGGCUUGUCACGUCGGAUGUGAAAGCCCGGGGCUUAACCCCGGGUCUGCAUUCGAUACGGGCAGGCUAGAGUUCGGUAGGGGAGAUCGGAAUUCCUGGUGUAGCGGUGAAAUGCGCAGAUAUCAGGAGGAACACCGGUGGCGAAAGCGGAUCUCUGGGCCGAUACUGACGCUGAGGAGCGAAAGCGUGGGGAGCGAACAGGAU
This 702-nucleotide ribosomal RNA is filed under the name Streptomyces sp. ME-239. RNAcentral's name for it is "bacterial SSU rRNA". It matches the Rfam family "Bacterial small subunit ribosomal RNA", at positions 62 to 778 of the family's 1533-position model. The record is from RNAcentral. Lineage: Bacteria; Bacillati; Actinomycetota; Actinomycetes; Kitasatosporales; Streptomycetaceae.